This is a non-coding RNA of Malus domestica (apple), 2245 nucleotides long. Lineage: Eukaryota; Viridiplantae; Streptophyta; Magnoliopsida; Rosales; Rosaceae. The record is from RefSeq and is a predicted model, not a curated record.
UCCGCCACGCCUUGGCACCUCACUCGACACCCGUCGUACAACAGCUUGCUCCAUACUCCGAACUCUCCAAACGCCUCCGUCAGCUCCGCCGCGGGCGACACCGCGCCCAUCGUCUGCAACACUCUGUAGCUUUCGCCGUUGUCCGAUCCUGGCCCAGAUUGGUAUUCAGAGCCUUUUAAUCACUUACAUGUCCAAUCAAAUUGGAGAAUUGUUGAACUGCGUGAAUGACAACUGCAUAAGGAAAGUCCAUGCGGCCAAGUCGCGAGACUGAUUAUUUUAUGACAACAAAAUAUGAUAGCCGCCACUCUUGUUCAUCCGAUGCUAAAAAUGGCAGUUCAUUAGAUGCUAAAAAUGGCAGUCAACCACAAGCAAGCAGCUCUCUCAUUGGUGAGUUUGUAAAGUCAAAGUACAAGCGUGUUUUGUGCCAAUGCAAACCGAAAAAUAUCACUGAGGAUGUGCUGAAAGAUCUUGGAGUGGAUAUAAGUUAUCGACGGCUAGGAGGGUUUUUGAAUGUGCAUUGAAAGAUAUUAGGGUAUGACCACAAGAACUUUCUUCUAAAUGGAGGUCAUGCGAAAGGUGCAAGAAGGAAAGAAUUUCAUCUCAACCAAAAAAAAAAGUCUCAUGGAGAAGAACUGUCUACAAGGAAUUGUGGAAAAUGUGGCUCAACUGGUCAUUACCGUAAAACCUGCAACAACGCUAUUACUCUUCAUCUCAAUUUUGAAAGAGUGAUAAAUGGCGUGAAACAAGGUGGUUUAUGGCUUCAGCAACAGGUGAAGCAAAGUUACAUGCCCGCAGAGAAUUUGGUGCGACUAUUACCGGUGAUCCUGCUGGUUUAAUUGGACGUGUCAGUGAUAUGCAUCUAUUGGGGACACUUGAAAUGUUCACUUUAGUGUCUGCAUAUGGCCUGUUCUUUGAAGGGGACCAAUGGCCUGGCCCUUGCUGGAGCUUCUGUGGGAAAAUUGCUGUAUGCGAACUACGGCAUUGGCCCAUUGAUCUAUAUUUCAUAUUGAGAGAUUGCAGCAAAGCUCAAACCAUUUGGGAGACAUCAGAGUGGCAAACCAGUAUGUUACUCCUUUUAUUCAGAUUAUAAGGCCUGUAUGCUUGUAGUGUGAUAGUCUUGAAGGGAGUAGCCUGUUUAUCUGCACAUGUUGGUAUCUGUCGGAGGUUGGCUGGACGCCACUUCCCCUGUUCUCAAAAACCAAUUGGAAGUACAGGUCUUUCUGGCAUGGGAGCCUCCUGACAUGGGAUGUCAGAAUAUGAAUGUUGAUGCGCCGAGGAGAAUGGCAUCUGGUGGAUUUGGAGCAGGGAAAGUUAUUUAAUCCAAUCUUGUCAGGGGAUAUUGAAGCAGAAAUCUGGGGAUACAUUUUGGCUUGCAGUUUCCAAUUUAGAAGAAAAGCACUAAAAGAUGUAUUCAGAUGGACUUCGCUAUUAUUCUAAAAAUGAUGAAGCAAGAGAGAAGAAUGCAGUGGCAGAUGGGAUAGCAAAUGGAGCUAUAACACUUAUUUGGGAGUCUAAGUUCGACCACGUAAGCUUUCUUAUUGCUGUUUUUCCCCUGUAAAGAAUCGUGUUUAGAUCUUCAUUGCAUUUUUUUUAUGGAAUCGUUGCAGGAAUCUUACUGCUUCAUUUCUUUUUCUUUCUUUGUCGUCUGGAGGUUGUUCUGUUUAUCCGCAGAUUGCAGAUCAUGAUCAAGGAUGUUAAUGAGCAGUUGCAGUCUUCUGUCAAGACAAGCGAUAGCUUCUUUUUGGAAAUUUAUCCUAUGCGGCUGAGUAUGGCGAGAAUUGGGUGGGAGGAAAUUUUGCUCUCUCUCUCUCUCUCCCCCCAUCUCUCUCAUCACACGACAUGUCAGGUGAUGAGAGACAGAAAACUUUCUAUCUGCCUAUGUUAUCUUUCCAAAAUCAGCAAACCCAACAUGUGUUUUUCUUGGAAAUGUCUGCAAACUUGGGUCUGUUUUGCAAAGAAAGUAUCCGAUGCAGCAAGGAGGAUUAGGAAUCAUAGGAAUUGCAUUGUAGGAGGAUGAAAAAUGACAUGCCUCCAAACAACAAAUGCAGUGACGUGAAUUGGUUGGACUUCAAAGGGAUUGGGAGUCAAAAAAGCAAUGCUCAUUGCAUUGCCAUUAGCCCUCCAUCUCAUACCCUCAUUGAUUGUGUGAUGGUUAUGUGAUUUGGACCAAACCCAACCCAUCAAUACAAACUACACACCUCAAAAUAAAGUGUGGUGUUAUUUAGACACUUACUUUUACCUCUCA